This 485-nucleotide ribosomal RNA is filed under the name uncultured bacterium. Its description in RNAcentral is "partial 16S ribosomal RNA". It matches the Rfam family "Bacterial small subunit ribosomal RNA", at positions 355 to 849 of the family's 1533-position model. The record is from RNAcentral.
UGGGGAAUAUUGCACAAUGGGCGAAAGCCUGAUGCAGCGACGCCGCGUGAGGGAUGACGGCCUUCGGGUUGUAAACCUCUUUCAGCAGGGAAGAAGCGAAAGUGACGGUACCUGCAGAAGAAGCGCCGGCUAACUACGUGCCAGCAGCCGCGGUAAUACGUAGGGCGCAAGCGUUGUCCGGAAUUAUUGGGCGUAAAGAGCUCGUAGGCGGUUAGUCGCGUCUGCUGUGAAAACUCGAGGCUCAACCUCGGGCUUGCAGUGGGUACGGGCUGACUAGAGUGCGGUAGGGGUGACUGGAAUUCCUGGUGUAGCGGUGGAAUGCGCAGAUAUCAGGAGGAACACCGAUGGCGAAGGCAGGUCACUGGGCCGCAACUGACGCUGAGGAGCGAAAGCAUGGGGAGCGAACAGGAUUAGAUAGCCCUGGUAGUCCAUGCCGUAAACGUUGGGCACUAGGUGUGGGGUCCAUUCCACGGAUUCCGUGCCGC